UGGGGAAUAUUGCACAAUGGGCGCAAGCCUGAUGCAGCGACGCCGCGUGGGGGAUGACGGCCUUCGGGUUGUAAACUCCUUUCGCUAGGGACGAAGCUCUUUGUGACGGUACCUAGAUAAGAAGCACCGGCUAACUACGUGCCAGCAGCCGCGGUAAUACGUAGGGUUCGAGCGUUGUCCGGAAUUACUGGGCGUAAAGGGCUCGUAGGUGGUUUGUCGCGUCGUCUGUGAAAUUCCGGGGCUUAACUCCGGGCGUGCAGGCGAUACGGGCAUAACUUGAGUACUGUAGGGGUAACUGGAAUUCCUGGUGUAGCGGUGAAAUGCGCAGAUAUCAGGAGGAACACCGAUGGCGAAGGCAGGUUACUGGGCAGUUACUGACGCUGAGGAGCGAAAGCAUGGGUAGCGAACAGG
RNAcentral lists this ribosomal RNA (411 nucleotides) under Actinomycetes bacterium. Its description in RNAcentral is "Actinobacteria bacterium partial 16S ribosomal RNA". It matches the Rfam family "Bacterial small subunit ribosomal RNA", at positions 355 to 776 of the family's 1533-position model. Lineage: Bacteria; Bacillati; Actinomycetota; Actinomycetes. The record is from RNAcentral.